Long non-coding RNA from Microtus ochrogaster (prairie vole), 1919 nucleotides. RefSeq lists it as uncharacterized. NCBI's taxonomy places the organism in Eukaryota, Metazoa, Chordata, Mammalia, Rodentia, Cricetidae. The transcript is spliced from 3 exons. The record is from RefSeq and is a predicted model, not a curated record.
GCCCUGGCUAUGAGCAGAGAUGGCUGUAGCAGCAUCUGAAGGGGCCUCUCCUAACCUCACUAGAUACCACAGUAUGGCAACGAGGGCAAAGGUGGUCAGGAACCUUUCAAGAGAGCUCUGCCUUUUGUAUGUGAGCCCACCAUGAAGAGACCCACCAAGAUGCGCUCUACCAAGAAGCACUCUAUCAUGAGGUGUUCCACCAAGAAGGCUCCAUCAUAAAGUGCUCCACCAUGACAUGUUCCACCAAGAUGCUCUCCCCCAUGAGGGGCUCCACCAUGAAGGGCUCCACUGUGAGGGGCUCCACCAUGAAGGGCUCCACUGUGAGGGGCUCCACCGUGUGCUGAUUUGGUUGAAGCCAAACUAGUUCUUGCAAAGCCAGCAUUAUACUAUUCAGAAUUUUAGUCUCCAUAAUAGUGAAAUAAUAAACCUUGUUCACUUAGGAAGCAUCAGCCUGAAAUAUUUCAUCAUAGUAACAGAAAGUGAACUAACCUAAUACCAAGACUUAAAACAAACAUGAGACAGAGGUAAUGAAAAACUGAAGAGCACUGUCUGUGCUUGAUGAUGCCAUAGCAUAUCAAAAGUACUGAAAAUGAAGUCAUGCCCCAGGACAUCUGCUUCGGGACUGACUGCUGGGUGUCAAGCUAAAGCUUGAUGCCAUGAUGAAAGAAGCAUCUGCCACCGCAUCUGACCACACCCUCACCAAGCCAAUUGAUGAAACUUAGAACCACAAAGGAGACAAACUCUGGGCAAGUCUGUGAUAGGCUUUCCUGGGGUGGGAAGACCCAGUCUGCAGGUGGGCAGCAUCAGCGUAUGGACUAGUGUCAUCACAGACUUAAUUUAAAAAAGAAAAAUUCUUUGUCUCUGUUUCCUGACAACAGACACAGUGUCGCCAAUGGUCCUGCCACUCCCAGCCAUGAUGGCCUGUGGCCAUCCUCAACCAUGAGACAAAACAAACUUUUCUUCCCAUCAGCUGCUACUGUCAGGGUUCGAUCACAAUCUGGAGAAGAACACAACUCAUGCGGUCUCCAGCAGUAACAUCUGACUGCGGUCUUUACGCGGGAAAAGAGGGUAAUGAAGGAUUGGAAAGACAGGGCCUUCAGUUCUGAGACAGCCCCCAGCCUGACCUCCCCACCACCGUGGAUCCAGACUUAAAGUGCACAGAGUGGCACAUUUGGGGGUUGCUGCAUGAUGGCUCAAUUUUGUCCACACCAGUUCUAAUGUUGAGCCUCUUGCUACUAGCGUUGGCUCUAAACCCUAAUGUACUCUCCCAUAAAUUAGUAAAAUGUUAAAAAGUAGAACCCAAUAAACUGUAGAAAGGCGCCUGUUUUCUGCCAUUGACUGAAAAAGAAGAGGGAAGAGCAAUGUGGACACUGUUUUUACUACUACUGGAUACAGCAUGGCUCCUGCUUCCUCUCGUCAUCUGUCAAAACACACCCUGAUACCAUCUGCAGACUGCCACAGCUACUUCAGCAACACCAGACAGACAUGGGUAACAUCAAAUGCCAAGGCACACCAACCAUUUGCACGUUCUCCUCAGCAGAAAGAGCAAGCAUAGCCUUUGCUAACCCCUAACCUAGUACCUGCCUUUAUAAGCUACCUCUCUUAACUUACAAGUGCCAUAGCUCCACAGCCUCAGGACUGACCUGUGUCUGUAGGGAAGACAGAGAACCAGCUAUGGGAACACUGAAAAUGCAAUUCUAGACUGCUGAUGUUAUGAACCACAGAACAGUGAAAUACGCGAGAAAAACCACAAAUCCACCUCUGUGUGAACAAAUGUGACAAACUGGAAAAACCCAGAGAACAUUGUGGUAGUUAUCAAAAUGGACACAGCAAGAAGAAAGCUUGACCAGGUGGCAUCAGAGAAAAUCAGAAUGACAGAGAACUGACUUUUCUAAGGUUCUAGGCCUAGGGACUUUUGA